UGGGGAAUAUUGCACAAUGGGCGCAAGCCUGAUGCAGCAACGCCGCGUGAGGGACGACGGCCUUCGGGUUGUAAACCUCUUUUAGUAGGGAAGAAGCGAAAGUGACGGUACCUGCAGAAAAAGCACCGGCUAACUACGUGCCAGCAGCCGCGGUAAUACGUAGGGUGCGAGCGUUGUCCGGAAUUAUUGGGCGUAAAGAGCUCGUAGGCGGUCUGUCGCGUCUGCUGUGAAAACCCGAGGCUCAACCUCGGGCCUGCAGUGGGUACGGGCAGACUAGAGUGCGGUAGGGGAGAAUGGAAUUCCUGGUGUAGCGUGGAAUGCGCAGAUAUCAGGAGGAACACCGAUGGCGAAGGCAGUUCUCUGGGCCGUAACUGACGCUGAGGAGCGAAAGCGUGGGGAGCGAACAGGAUUAGAUACCCUGGUAGUCCACGCCGUAAACGUUGGGCGCUAGAUGUGGGGCACCAUUCCACGGUUUCCGUGUC
RNAcentral lists this ribosomal RNA (482 nucleotides) under uncultured bacterium. RNAcentral describes it as "partial 16S ribosomal RNA". It matches the Rfam family "Bacterial small subunit ribosomal RNA", at positions 355 to 847 of the family's 1533-position model. The record is from RNAcentral.